GCCAGGUGUGGUGGUGCAUACCUGCAAUCCUUGUGACUCCAGAGGCUGGGGCAGGAGAAUCACAAGUUGGGAGGCCAGCCUCAGCAAUCACUAAUUUAGUGAUACCCUGUCUCAA
This 115-nucleotide small RNA is filed under the name Marmota monax (woodchuck). The record is from RNAcentral. Lineage: Eukaryota; Metazoa; Chordata; Mammalia; Rodentia; Sciuridae.